This is a non-coding RNA of Paramuricea clavata, 316 nucleotides long. NCBI's taxonomy places the organism in Eukaryota, Metazoa, Cnidaria, Anthozoa, Malacalcyonacea, Plexauridae. The record is from the annotation of a GenBank genome assembly.
AAGCAGAAAGAUGUUGUCUGCCGCGGCUGGGUCUCGAACCCGCGACCUUCGAAUUACUAGAUCGACGCUCCACCUACUGAGCUACACGAUCAGACGGAUUUAAGACUGGAAAUUAUGAAAUAUAUACUGAAUGUCAUAAACAUACUCGUUUAUAUUAAUUCAGCAUCGAACGAGUAGGUAGAGCGUCGAUCUAGUAAUUCGAAGGUCGCGGGUUCGAGACCCAGCCGCGGCAGACAACAUCUUUCUGCUUGCGCUGGGUAUGGAAAUUAUAUAAUACACACUCUAGAACAUUUUCAUCUUAAUAUAUAUAUAUAUA